Molecule: long non-coding RNA, 937 nt
Filed under: Gossypium barbadense (sea-island cotton)
Lineage: Eukaryota; Viridiplantae; Streptophyta; Magnoliopsida; Malvales; Malvaceae
Description: long non-coding RNA (GBAR_LNC017062)
Source: RNAcentral
AAACAUUACACUUUACAUCAUUCCGAUACUUUCACAGCCAUUCCCCCCUUAGUCUCUUCCUCUCCCCCAAAGCUACUUAGUCACUAGAGACCCUUCACAACUUAGGCUCUCCUAUCCCUCUCCAUCGCUUCUCUAGCAAACUUGGGGACCUCAUCGCUUAAGCACCACUGUCCUCCUAUCUUCAAUCCCUCAGUAGCCAGCAAGUGAGUGACGUCGUUCACCGUUCUGGGGCAAUAUUUGAAUAUACAGGUACGAAAUUGCUUACCCAAACAUUUUCCAUCUCUGAUUAAGACCACUAUUUCCGAUUUAUCCUCCCUCUCGUGUAACAGCUUUUUUAUGACAGUGAGUGCAUCUCCUUUAACCUCCGUAUCCAUUAGUCCUAGAUCUAGUCCCACCUGGAUCCUUUGAAUGCAUACAAUCGCUUCUACCGCAAAGACUGAAGGUACAUUCUCAUUAGUGACCCUUUUUUAGCAUAGUACAAGUCCCUCAGAGUUUCGAAUCACAAUCCCAGAACAUGAUUUUUCCUUAUGCUUUUUAUAGGCGGUGUCAAAAUUGAUUUUUACGAACGGGGGCUUUGAUGGUUGCCAACUUUCCAACUCCACACGCCGAACAUAUAAGGGAAUCUAUACCCCAUCAAGUUCUUGAACAUAAUUUCUUAUUGAAGUUGCAAUAGUGUUCCCAGAUCUUUUCUAAACCUCAUGAGUCCACUUAUUCUGUUCUGUCCAAAUAGACCAUAGAGCACAUCCGAACAUUCUACACUGGUUAUUGGUGUUAUGCUCAAAGAACCAGGUAACCCACUCCAAUAUCUCUAUUCUUGACACCCUUUCUGGCCAGGACCAGCCUAAAUGAUUCCAUUUAUCUUUUGUCUCAGGCACUCACGCAGGGCAUGGAUAUCGGUUUCAAUUCCACCUGCACAUCUCAGACAGAUACUAGAAUU